CCAGGGUGGGAAAAUUCUGGGAAACUCCUGGGAGAUUUCUCUUCCUGCUGCCUGAGGCCAGCUUCCUUCCUCGCAGAUUGCGGGGUCCCAGGCACCAAAACCAGCAGCUUCCCAGCCAGAACAGCCUGCCCUCCUCAUCCUUCUGCCAUUCACAGGGGCUGAGCUGCCCCUCGCUGCAUCACACCAAGGCAGCACCGCGUGUCCCUGCCACCAGCUCUUCCCUUUGCAGUGCGGGCACGCUUCUGUUGCACUCUGACCAAUUGUAUCUGCCUCAGUUUCCCCCUGAAUAGGGAUUUUUUUCUGUCUUAUUCUGUGAGAUCCUACACAAAUCUCCAUGUCCAGCCCUCCUAGGUGUGCCGCUCACCCCAAGUCCCACAGUCAAACCCUUGUGGGUCUGCAGACGUUGUAGGGUCGCAGGUCCCUGCCUCUUCCUCUCCCCACUCUGGAUGUGGGAUUUUCGGCUCCUGUCCUGAAGGGCUGGUAUGGUAUCUCUCACGCUUGGCUCAGGGAGCUGAAAGGUUUUUCAAUCAUCUGCUAAUGAUAGGAAAGCAAACUUUCAUUCCCUCUCUCCCCCAGUCUUGGCAGGGAAGGUGGAAUGCGGAGCGUGAGAGGAGCAGCCACCUUUCAGGCCAGCAGCUGCUUUGGGGGAUGGGGCAGAUAAAUGUGCAGGAUUUCCAAUCAGCCCUACACAUCCCGGCCAGAAGACUUCACCGAAGCACGGUGUGGGGGAAUAGCUGACUGAUAACACUGCCUUCAUCUCUGGAGAUCCCUGAGAGCUCACCUGGAGACACCCAGCUCUGCCCGCACCAAUGGAGGGGACGGCGGCGGACCCCAAACCGAGCACAAGGACACCGCUGGGCAGCAUGCGAUGGAGAAGGUAGAGAGAAAACCAGGUCAGCUUGCUUUGGAAAGAGCUGGAAGGCAGAGGGAUCUCCCCGUGGCAGGAACCAGCCCUGCUUUGAAGCACUUGCAGGCCAGGCAGCACCGAGCUGGGAAAACAAAACAAAAUCAAAGGUCCUUCUGCGUUGCCUGUGAGCCUUCCUCACCAACCAGCAUGCUCAUCCUCCCCUCACACCCCUCAACCAGCUUGCCCACCCAUACACAAGCAGCCACCAAGCAAGCCUGGGAAUCAGGAGUGAUGCGAGGCCCUGUGAAGGAACCCAAAUGCUCCAGAUUGCUUCCAAGAGGAGCAAGUGCAGCCUUCCAGCCUGCACACAAGCACCAAAGCUGCCUGCUUGUGCCGUGGUGGCCUUUAUUUUCAGCAGUCUGCGAGCUUGGGAAAACAGCAGAAGCACCCCAGACCCCAGGGCAUGAAGACUUUAAAUCGGGGACCAUCUUCUGGAGCCGUGUUUCGCAGCACCCAUCGCUGUCCAAGCCUGCCUGUCAUCCUCCCCGUUGCUUGUUUGUAUUGCAGCAGUGA
RNAcentral lists this long non-coding RNA (1420 nucleotides) under Anas platyrhynchos platyrhynchos (common mallard). RNAcentral's name for it is "lncRNA (ENSAPLG00000026595.1)". Lineage: Eukaryota; Metazoa; Chordata; Aves; Anseriformes; Anatidae. The record is from RNAcentral.